Long non-coding RNA from Brassica oleracea var. oleracea, 988 nucleotides. RefSeq lists it as uncharacterized. The transcript has 3 exons. NCBI's taxonomy places the organism in Eukaryota, Viridiplantae, Streptophyta, Magnoliopsida, Brassicales, Brassicaceae. The record is from RefSeq and is a predicted model, not a curated record.
GUUCUUCCGUCUGCGUUAAGAAGACGUCACCGUCGCUUCGAUCCAAGUACAGGCCACCGCUUCUUACCAGAAGAGGUGUAACGGUGUAAGCUUUCAUUGAAUCUCCGUCAUCUACGUUCUCAUUCACUCCAUUAAACCACCACCUUCAUUAACUCGCAUUCAAUAGCACCUUCACCCUCCUCGAUGGUUACAAAAGUUAUUCCAUAAAUGAAGAGGUCAAAUACAAAACCAGGAGAAGUAGCUUGGAAGAAAGAAAGGAGAAUGAAUUAGAGGGAGAAGAAACUGAGACAGAGCAUCAGCAAUCAGAUGGAAUUAAGGCCAAACGUUUUUUGUUCUCAAAAUUAGUCAAAGUUGUUAUUAUUAUGUUGUUGUAUCUAUCUUUGGCGGUCUUUGUGGACUAAGUUAAGAAUAAAGCUUCCGUUGGUGUGUCAAUGGCGAGUUAUACGAUGGUACCAGCUUCUCUCCAAGGUUUUGCCAUAUUAUUUUCUGAGUUCACCCUUAAAACAACUCAAACGUCAAAACAAGAUAUAUGUAGGGAAACAAGAUGGAAAAAAGAGUCGGAGAGAUUUGGAAAACAAAUAUUUUUUUGCAGGACUUACGAUGGGAAGUCGUAGAGAUGCAAAAUAUUGUCUUUCCAAGAGCACGACAAAACUGGCUUGGUUUCUUCAUCAUGUACGCCAGAGGUUCUGCUCUGAUGAACUGUUUAUGGCGAUGAGGUUCUUAUUAGAUAGAGUUCUUGGCACUGCUCUAAAUCGCUGAUGCUCUGCAAAGACUUAGUUCUCACUCUCCACCAUCUGGAUUUAGCUCUUACCCUGGUCUCAACUGCUCUCGGAACCAUCGAAUCCAUUGGCAAGGCAAGUCCGUCUCUCGCUGGAAAGCCGGAAACCAGGAACUGACAGCACCCAUUACUUGACACUGGUACUUGAAACAUCUCAUUACUUGCAGUGAAAGUAACCGGCUCUAAUGCUUGGAUGUCUUGGAGACAGGU